Molecule: long non-coding RNA, 444 nt
Filed under: Brachypodium distachyon (stiff brome)
Lineage: Eukaryota; Viridiplantae; Streptophyta; Magnoliopsida; Poales; Poaceae
Description: long non-coding RNA (BDIS_LNC003838)
Source: RNAcentral
GGAAAAGAAAUAGCGAAGGAAGACCUCGAUUCUCGAUCGCAACUGCAUGAUAGGUACCUCUUUUUUUUUUUGCGGGGAAGCAUGAUAGGUACUUCAGUCCGUGGGAAAUUAGUUCUCCAGAGAUGCAUCACCAAUCUAUCGCCAUGAUACCCAUCCCAUGUUACCUACACACGCCUGCUUUUUUCUCGUGCAAGAGAGCCUUUUGCCCAUAGCCUGCCAGGUACUCGAUCCGAUCGACGGCUCGAUGGCACCCAAGUUAAAAGUGUGCCUGCAUGCUGCAUUGAGAUCUGAUGCAAUCCUCACUGACGUGCGACGACAACCAACGAAAGUACGAGUAGUUUUCAGAUAAUUAAGUAUGGCAUGCAAGCUGCCAUGCUGCCCAGUUUUAGUUUAACGCAAGGUACGUUAUGCUGACCGUGCACAAACUUAAUUACUCAUGCGAUC